AUCGAACGCUGGCGGCAGGCUUAACACAUGCAAGUCGAGCGGGCGCUGGCGGGUGGCAGCGGCGGACGGGGGCGUAACGCGGGGGAACGUGCCCUCUGGUUCGGGGUAACGCGGGAAAACGUGAGCUAAUACGGGAUACUACCGUUUGGGGAAAGGCUGGCUGCGUGAGGAUCGGUCCGCGUCUGAUUUGCUAGAUGGUGAUAGAACGGCUCAUCAAGGCGACGAGCAGUAGCUGGGCUGAGAGGAUGAUCAGCCACACUGGGACUGAGACACGGCCGAGAAUACUACGCGAGGCAGGAGUGCGGAAUACUGGAAAAUCGGCGCAAGCCAGAUCGACCCCUGCCGGGUGAGUGAUGAAGGCCUUAGGGUUGUACAGCUAUUUUAUCCGGGACGAUAAUGACGGUACCGGCAGAAUAAGCCCCGGCUAACUUCGUG
RNAcentral lists this ribosomal RNA (435 nucleotides) under uncultured bacterium. Its description in RNAcentral is "partial 16S ribosomal RNA". It matches the Rfam family "Bacterial small subunit ribosomal RNA", at positions 29 to 507 of the family's 1533-position model. The record is from RNAcentral.